Manis pentadactyla (Chinese pangolin) is the source of this 2158-nucleotide long non-coding RNA. RefSeq lists it as uncharacterized. The transcript is spliced from 3 exons. NCBI's taxonomy places the organism in Eukaryota, Metazoa, Chordata, Mammalia, Pholidota, Manidae. The record is from RefSeq and is a predicted model, not a curated record.
GCCCUCGAAGUCCCUGAUUAACCCUCCCAGCAUUCCUUAAGGAUGCUCCGGGGAGAAUGCAGAGUGGACGCCGAUAGCACAGAGGGGGCUCCUGGAGGGACACGGUGGGCAGGCUCAGACCCCUGCCUUCCUGGAACAGCUCCAGGUCUACACCACGUGGGACUUGCGGCCACCCUCCACUGGCUUCCCCCCGUGUGCCGGAUGCCACCCUCAUCCUUGCUUCCGUUGGAAGCCCCCACAGGCUGGGACGCCGAGAAGCCCAUGGGGCACAGGUGACGCUGUCACGUCAUCCACAACAUCUCAUCGCUGUGGUUCCUUGCUGGCAGCUUUGGCUUUGUCUGUCAGCAUCCACGGCUGCAAAUGCCAGAUGCCCACAGUGAGUCUCCUAAGUUAUUUACCCUAAGACAACCUUUCACUGCAAUAAAUGGCGUGUUUAUUCAGCCUCCCUUUCUGCUUCUUAGAAUUAAGGCAAAACAAAGGGCUGUUUUCAUAAACACAAGCCAAGUCCUUUGCACAUGCAAGCAAACCACUGCUUACGGUGGCUUCACUGCUUGGUUCUUCCCCAGCCAGAUGGCCUGAGACCCUCCCAGCCCUCUCGGGGGUGCCCAAGGCCAAACAGGGGGAGGGAGUGGCCCACCGGGGUCCCAGGAACACAGCAGCAUGUGCCCAGUUGCAGGCGGUUUGGAGCUGGAAAGGACGCCGGAGCUCAGCUAAUCUAACCCCUGCCAUCAGGUGAAGGACGCAUCACAGAGCACAGGGAGGCCCAUUGUUGCAGCUAUUUUAAAACACCUUUGGGGGCAAACAUUUCGCAAUCUUCCUUGAAAAGAUGCAGAGACUCAAAACUAGCCAUUUUAAAGCCCAGGAGAGGAUCUGAAAAGAAGCCUGGGCCCUCCAACUGCCCACAUAUCUGCGAUCCUCACUGGAUGGGCACCUGCAGACCUCCAGGCCUGCAGCCGGACCCGUUCCGUCCUCAGCCCAAAUCUUACUCCAAGUCCGAGGCUUUUCCUUGACCCCAGAUUUGCCCCCUCUGUCAGCUACCACAGGGACCAGAUAGGUGAGUAAGCUCUCACCCCUGCCCUCCAGGGGUUCCUAGUCACGCAACAGUAGGAGUUCUGGUAAAGGCUGCAUAAAGGUGGAUGUUAAUGCCUCGGAGUUCACGUAAUACAAAUAUGUUAGGAGACACCCGGGAGUAGAAAGGCAAUGUUUUAAGUGCACAAGGCUUAAACCUAGAUCAGCCAUCGAGGUCUACUUCGGGAAUUCCCUACAGAAAACCGUCUCAAAGGAUUUUGCUCAUAACACUCUGGUCUUCAAAAACUUAGCAAUGCCUCCUUACUGCUUGGAAGCAGCCUCGGCCUGGCACGGAGCCUAUCAUCUUGGCCUCGGCACAGUGGUUUACGCGGUGCCGGCCUCCAGCACUAGUCAACUUGGCAAAAGCCGCAAAGCGCAGGGCUCCCACUCCCUGCUCGGCCUUCCUUCCUGGGCCCAAGGAGUGUGUUUCCCAGUGCGUUUUCCUUUUGCCCACCUAUGCUUUGAUCUAAUUAAGUAGUUCUUAAAUAUCAAUCGUACACCCUAAGCUUGGGGAAGGAGCUAUGAAAGUGAACAGCCUCUGGGACAGAGGACGGGGAUCCUUUAGCCUCCUGCCCACAGCUACAAAUGUAACUUCAUUGUUGACCUUACUGCCCGGCCCUCCGGCCCCGGGGGAGGAAACCUCUCUCCUGCCCCAGGCUGACCCAGCCCAAGCCUAGAAUCCCACCCCUUCCCAUUUCUUCUGAGUCUGGCUGUUGAUUAGCUUCUUUUCUCUCCUUGUCUAUUGGGUUCUUCUCUUGAGCACUUAGGUAUUUUUAGCUGUGGGAUUCUCUCUUUUUUUUAUACAGCUUCAAGAUGUCCUGACGCCCCUCUUUCCCUUCCAGAGCCAGCCUGUCUCUCCCCCCACUGAGCCAGGCGUUGGGGAGGUGUUCUCUCCCAGGGCCCCCCUGCCCCAUCCUCUCAUCUUCCAUCUGCACUUUGUUCCCCGGGAGGGGCUCCGAGGGGCCAGGGAGAGAGUCUCAAGAAGGGCGAGAUCAAAGUCCUGCUCGUGGGAAGUGGGAAUGAGGCAUGGCUGUGGCACCUGGGGUCACAGGUGCCCUUCGCGGGGAGUGGUGUUGGUGGACACAUACGA